GUGUGUUUGGUCCCAUGUAAAAUUAAGAAAAAUAAAUUUUUGGUGGAAAAAAAAUUUUUAGUGGAAAAAAAUUUUACGUCGUUUGUGUUUGGUUUAUAGGAAAAGAAAAAUAGCUUUUCAUAACAGUUAUUUAGUUAAAAGGAAAAAAUAAAAAAAUAAAAAAUUAUUUAAUAUAUUUUUUAUUAUAUAUAUUAUCUCUAAUUAUAUAUAUAUUAUAUAUUAUUAAUAUAUAAUAAUUAUCAUAAUAUAUUUAAUUAUUAUAAUUUAUAUUUAUAAAUAAAAUAUAUUAUAUAAUAAAUAUGUAAUAUAAUAUAUAAUAAUAUAUAUUUAAUACUAUAAAAUAAAUUAUUAUGUAUUUAUAAAU
This 364-nucleotide long non-coding RNA is filed under the name Ananas comosus (pineapple). RNAcentral describes it as "long non-coding RNA (ACOM_LNC000816)". The record is from RNAcentral. Lineage: Eukaryota; Viridiplantae; Streptophyta; Magnoliopsida; Poales; Bromeliaceae.